This is a small nuclear RNA of Ictidomys tridecemlineatus (thirteen-lined ground squirrel), 89 nucleotides long. The record is from Ensembl. NCBI's taxonomy places the organism in Eukaryota, Metazoa, Chordata, Mammalia, Rodentia, Sciuridae.
GUGCUCACUUCAGCAGCACAUACUAAAACUGGAAUGAUCAGCCUCUGCUCAAGAAUGACAUGCAAAUCUGUGAAGUGUUCCAUAUUCUC